GAUUUGAUUCUAGCUCCGUUGAACGCUGGCGGGGGGGAUGCUUUACACAUGCAAGUCGAACGGCAGCACGGACUUCGGUCUGGUGGCGAGUGGCAACGGGUGAGUAAUGUAUCGGGACGUGCCUAGUAGCGGGGGAUAACUACGCGAAAGCGUAGCUAAUACCACGCGCCCUUCGAAAGGAAAGCGGGGACCUUCGGGCCUCGCACUAUUGGAAGCGGCCGAUAUCGGAUUGGCUAGUUGGUGGGGUAACACAGCGGCUCACCAAGGCGAUGAUCCGUAGCUGGUUUGAGAGGACGACCAGCCACACUGGGACUGAGACGGCGAACUCCUGCGGGAGGCAGCGGUAAAAUUUUGGACAAUGGGAAACCCUGAUCCAGCCAUCCCGCGUGUGCGAUGAAGGCCUUCAGGUUAAAGCACUUUUGGCAGAAAGAAACGGCGCACGGAUAAUACCCCGUGCAACUGACGGUACCUGCAGAAUAAGCACCACGGCUAACACGUGCCGGCAUCCGCGCGGUAAUACGUAGGGUGCAAGCGUUAAUCGGAAUUACUGGGCGUAAAGCGUGCGCAGGCGGUUCGGAAAGAAAGAUGUGAAAUCCAGAGCUUAACUUUGGAGACUGCAUUUUUAACUACCGAGCUAGAGUGUGUCAGAAUUCCGCGUGUAGCAGUGAAAUGCGUAGAUAUGCGGAGGAACACCGAUAGCGAAGGCAGCUUUCUGGAUAACACUGACGCUCAUGCACGAAAGCGUGGGAGCAAACAGGAUUAGAUACCCUGGUAGUCCACGCGCAAACGAUGUCAACUGGCUGUUGGGGCCUUCGGGCCUUGGUAGCGCAACUAACGCGUGAAGUUGACCGCCUGGGGUACGGUCGCAAGAUUAAAACUCAAGAAAUUGACGAGGACCCGCACAAGCGGUGGAUGAUGUGGAUUAAUUCGAUGCAACGCGAAAAACCUUACCUACCCUUGACAUGUCUGGAAUCCCGAAGAGAUUUGGGAGUGCUCGCAGAGAACCGGAACACGGGUCUGCAUGGCUGUCGUCGGCUCGUGUACGUGAGAUGUUGGGUUAGAACCGCAACGGCACAACCCUUGUCAUUAGUUGCUACGAAGGGCGCUCGUAGGACUGCCGGUGACAAACCGGAGGGGAAGGUGGGGAUGACGUCAAGUCCUCAUGGCCCUUAUGGGUAGGGCUGUACGUCAUACAAUGGUCGGGACAGAGGGUCGCCAACCCGCGAGGGGAACCAAUCCCAGAAGCCAGGUGAUCCGGAUGGAGUCUGCAACUCGACUGCGUGAGUGGAAUCUUCGACAAUCGCGGAUCAGCAUGUCGCCGGUAGAUCGUUUCCCCGGGUCUUGUACACAUUGUCCUGUGGGAGUGGGUUUUACCAGAAGUAGUUAGCCCUAGCAGUAAGGAGGGCGUGCCACCACGGUAAGUUCAUGACUGGGGUGAAGUCAAUAGCUGAGUAA
This 1455-nucleotide ribosomal RNA is filed under the name uncultured Bordetella sp. RNAcentral's name for it is "partial 16S-23S ribosomal RNA intergenic spacer". It matches the Rfam family "Bacterial small subunit ribosomal RNA". Lineage: Bacteria; Pseudomonadati; Pseudomonadota; Betaproteobacteria; Burkholderiales; Alcaligenaceae. The record is from RNAcentral.